This 468-nucleotide ribosomal RNA is filed under the name uncultured bacterium. RNAcentral's name for it is "partial 16S ribosomal RNA". It matches the Rfam family "Bacterial small subunit ribosomal RNA", at positions 28 to 507 of the family's 1533-position model. The record is from RNAcentral.
GGCGAACGCUGGCGGCGGGCUUAACACAUGCAAGUCGAACGGAAAGGCACUACUUUUGUGGGGUGAUCGAGUGGCGAACGGGUGAGUAACACGUGAAUAACCUGCCCUAGAUUUUGGGAUAACUUCAGGAAACGAGGGCUAAUCCCGGAUAGGAGCCCCUGUACGGUGGAGAGGGGUGGAAAGUCUCAGCGGGUGGGGAUGGAUGCGCGGCUGACGAACUAGUUGGUGGGGGGGUGGCUUACCCACGAUUGGACCGGUAGGCGGCCGGAGAGGGGGGCCGGCCACAAUAGUCCUGAGAUACGGCCCAGACUCCUACAUGAGGCAGCGGUGGGGAAUAUUACACAGUGAGCGGGAGCCUGAUGCGGCAACGCCGCGGUUGUGAUGACGGCCUUCGGGGUGUAAACCGCUUUCGCCUGUUACGAAGCGUGAGUGACGGUAAUGAAUAAAGAAGCACCGGCUAACUACGUG